Molecule: long non-coding RNA, 3606 nt
Organism: Homo sapiens (human)
Lineage: Eukaryota; Metazoa; Chordata; Mammalia; Primates; Hominidae
Gene: DUBR
Product: DPPA2 upstream binding RNA
Source: Ensembl
GCACCCACGCGGCGCAGCUCCCAAAGUUGCAGACAGCCCGGCGAACCGCGCAAUGCGCUUCUUCUGCCUGCAGCAGAGAAAAGGAAAGAAAACUCCGCAGGGGCUCCGUUGGCUUCUCCACGAGUGACAACCAUGUUUUCCCAGAUAGAAGACCGGAGCCCUGCUCCUUUGCGAUCCGCCGAGGGCUGCAGAGAGCAUCCUCAUCCAUUUGGGCACCCCUGCCCAGGAAGAGCCCGGCCAUCCCUUUCCGGACUGGAUCCUUAAGAGGUGAAUUUUCUUCCGUGGAUUCCGAUUUGCUCCGUCUGACCAGCCUAGGCAAUCCAGCAUCGCGUGGUACCAGUGCCGCUGGGCACACUGGCUUCACGCCGGCUCCGCCUCACCAGCAAGCGCAUUCCCAGAUAAAACACUAACUCAGAGAAGAAAUUUAACUGCAAAUUUGGUUAAUGACCAUGGAUUCCUAAUGAGAAGAAAAGCUAGACACUGAGAGUUUAGAAUAAACUCAAGAAUCUUAAAAAUUUUCCCAUGGAACUGCCUUUGCACCUCUAUAAAAAAUUAAUUGACCAUAUGGUAAGUAACAUGUGAGUUUACAUUGAGGAUAGAUGAGCCUUUGGACAAAAUUAGAGUGAUUUAAUUUUACAAUAAAAACAACUCUAUGUCUUUUUCUUGGUUCUGUCAUCAUGUAAAAAAUAAUGCUUGCAAAAUUUUUUAUUAACACAACACUUGGGCUUAAUUUCCAAUAAUUUCUAUUUUUAAAAUGUCUUCCAUUAGUGUCUUGGAUCUUGGAAGAUAUAAUUCUGUCUGGAAAAUUUUUAAGACAAGAUAAAAAAUAUAUAUAUAUACACACACACAUACAUACAUAUAUAUGUGUAUAUAUAAAUAAUUUAAAUGAAAUUGUCUUGACACAUGUUUUUCAAAGAGUAUAAUCUUGUGAACUUUUCUAAUACUACAAAUCACAGGAUUUAAUCUUCUGACUUAAAUUGUACUUUCCAGAUAUUUAGUCACUCUAAGAUGUUAAACUAAUGUUAAAUUGUUUUAUUUAAUGAAUAAUCUUUGGAUAUAUAAUUUUUCUAUAAGAAAAAACAGAAAACUUUGAUUAUUAGAUAUAAUUUUAAAUUUCUUUUACCUUUAUACAUAAAAUCACUACAGAUUAAGGAGAUGUACAAAUGUCCUUAAAUUAUAUUAAAUGCACUUACUUUGCCAUCUUAAAAUUUAUUUAAGUAAAAUAACAUAUAUGCUCAUAAAAAUAGUUUUAUUGAUCUUGGUUACCUAUCUUCUAGUUUUCUCUUGUGUCUGGAAAAAUAAAAGUUGGUUAAUUUUGUUAAAGGUGGUAAUUAAUAAAAUCGACUAUGCAGACAUUUAUACAUUUACUUAUACAUAAAAAUAUAUUUAUGUACUUUAAUCUCUAUAUUACUCUUCUAAUUCAAUUUUUAAAGUAAAGUUCCAUUUUUCUGUAUGGUUCUAUGAGUGUAACACAUGCACAGAUUCUUGUAAGCUUCAUCACAAAUAGGUUAUAGAACAAUUCCACACCUUCCCCAAAAUGUCUCUUUUCCUGCUCAGUAGAUAGUCAAACUCUCCCCUCAGGCCUAAGCCUUGCAACCACUGAUCUUCUUUCCCUCUAUUUUUGCCGUUUUUAGAAUGUCAUACAUAUUUAGCCUUUUAAGAUUUACUUCUUUAACUUAGUAAAUGCAUUUGAGAUUCAAUCAUGUUGUUGCAUGUACCAAUAAUUUAUUUCUUUUUAUUGCUGAGAAGUAUUUCAUGGGUUGUUUAUCCAUUUACCCACUGAAGAACUUUUAGUCUGUUUCCAUUUUUGGGCAAUAUGAAUAAUGUGGUUCUGUUAUAAACAUUCAUGUCCAGGUUUUUGUGUGAAUAUAAGUUUUUAUUUCUCUACAGUUAAUACCUAGGAAUCAGAUUCCUGGGUUAUAUGAUAAGUGUAUGUUUAACUGCCAAACAUUUCUAAAGUAGCUAUUUCAUUUUGCAUUUCCACCAGCAAUUUAUAGGAGUUUCAAUUGCUCCACAUAUUUGCCAGCAUUGAUAUUGUCAUUAAGAAAAGUCAUUCUAAUAGGUGGGUGGUGGUAUCUCAUUUUGGUUUUCAUUUGGAGUUCCCUAAUGACUAAUGAUGUUGAGCAUAUUUGAUGCACUUAUUUGACAAUCAUAUUUUUUCUUUGAUAAAGUGUCUCUUUAAAUCUUUUGACUUUUUUUUCAAUUGGGUUGUUUUAUUAUUGUUGAGUUUUGAGAAUUCUUUGAAUAUUCUGAACUCAAGUUCUUUGUUGGAUAUAUGAUUUUCAAAUUAUUUCCUCCCUAUCUGUGGCUUUUCACUCUCUUAAAAAAGAACACAGGGCAAAUGUUUUAAAUUUUUAUGAGGUUCAAUAUAUUGAUUUUUCUUUUAUGACUCUUGCUUUUGGUGUAAUAUCUAAGAACUCUUUGCCUAACCUGAGGUCACAAUGAUUUUCUCCUGUUUUCUUUUAAAAUUUUUAUAUAUUUACCUUUUAUUUUUAUGAGUUAAAUUUUAGUACAUGAUGUCAGGUAAGAGUGGAUGAUCAUUUUAUUGGCAUAUGAAUGUCCAAUUGUUCUAGUACCAUUUGUCAAGGCUAUACUUUUCCCAUUGAAUUGCCUUUGCACCUCUAUAAAAAAUUAAUUGACCAUAUGGUAAGUAAAAUGUGAGUUUAUGUCUAGAAUCCAGAUACUGAUCCACUGGUACUGUUCUAUUGAUCCUUUUGCCAAUACCACAAGAUCUUGACAACUCUGACCUUAUAGUGAAUCUUAAAACUGGGUAGUGUGAGUUUUCCAACUUUGUUUUCAUACAAAAUAAUUUUGGCCAUUCUAGUUUCUUUGCACUUUCAUGUAAAUUUUAGAAAGAGUUUAUCUAUAUCCACCAAAAAAUCUUCCUGGGAUUUUAAAUGGGAGUACAUUAAAUCUAUAGGUAAAGUUGGAGAGAAUUGGCAUUUUGCCAAUGUUGAGUUUUUCAACUAUAAAUACACUGUAUUUCUACAUUUAUUGGGAUUUUCGUUGAUAUUGUUCAUCAGUGUUUAGAGACUUCUAGCAGAUAGAUCCUAAAAAUAUUUUGUUAGAUUAUACCUAGGUAAAUUUUCAGUCUUUUGAAAAAUGAUCCUGAUUUUAAAACUUUGAUUUCUAGUUGUUCCUUGCUAGUGAAUUAGUUCUUGGAUUUUUAAAAUUAAUUCUUUAGGAUUUUCUGUGUAAACAAUCAUGCUCUCUGUUAAUAUGUAUUAUUUUAUUUCUUCUUUUCUGAUUUUAUGCCUUUUUUUCCCUUAGCUUAUUUCACCAACUAGAACUUCCAAUAAAACAUUGAAUAGAAGUGAUGAGAGUGGAUAUAUUUGCCUUGUUCCUGAUUUUAGAUGAUAAACAUUUUGUCUUUCACUUUAGAUAUGAUGUUAGUUCUAGGGGCUUUUUGAAGAUGAGCAUUAUUAUGUUGCAAAGGUUCCAUCCUCCUUCUAGUUUGUGAGGAAAUUUUUAUCUUAAAUGGACAUUGAAUUUUAUCAAAUGCCUUCCCUGCGUCUAUUGAUAUGACCACAUGGUUUUUCUUAAGUCUAUUAGUAUGGUGAAUUACACUGAAGAUUUUUGAAUGGUGAACCAGACUUGCAUUCCCCC